GACGAACGCUGGCGGCGUGCCUAAUACAUGCAAGUCGAACGCUUCUUUCCUCCCGAUUGCUUGCACUCCAUUGGAAAGAGGAGUGGCGGACGGGUGAGUAACACGUGGGUAACCUACCCAUCAGAGUGGGAUAACCCUUGGUAACAGGUGCUAAUAUCUCAUAACAGUUUAUGCCGCAUGGCAUAAGAGUGAAAGGCGCUUUCGGGUGUCGCUGAUGGAUGGACCCGCGGUUCGUUAGCUAGUUGGUGAGGUAACGGCUCACCAAGUAAACGAUGCAUAGCCGACCGGAGAGGGUGAUCGGCCAAACUGGAACUGAGAAACGGCCCAGCCUCCUACGGGAGGCAGCAGUAGGAAUCUUCGGCAAUGGACGAAAGUCUGACCGAGCAACGCCGCGUGAGUGAAGAAGGUCUUCGGAUCGUAAAACUCUGUUGUUAGAGAAGAACAAGGGCGUUAGUAACUAAACGUGCCCUGACGGUAUCUAACCAGAAAGCCACGGCUAACUACGUG
This 507-nucleotide ribosomal RNA is filed under the name uncultured bacterium. Its description in RNAcentral is "partial 16S ribosomal RNA". It matches the Rfam family "Bacterial small subunit ribosomal RNA", at positions 28 to 507 of the family's 1533-position model. The record is from RNAcentral.